GACGAACGCUGGCAGCGUGCUUAACACAUGCAAGUCGAACGGAAAGGCCCUGCUUUUGUGGGGUGCUCGAGUGGCGAACGGGUGAGUAACACGUGAGUAACCUGCCCUUGACUUUGGGAUAACUUCAGGAAACUGGGGCUAAUACCGGAUAGGAGCUCCUGCUGCAUGGUGGGGGUUGGAAAGUUUCGGCGGUUGGGGAUGGACUCGCGGCUUAUCAGCUUGUUGGUGGGGUAGUGGCUUACCAAGGCUUUGACGGGUAGCCGGCCUGAGAGGGUGACCGGCCACAUUGGGACUGAGAUACGGCCCGGACUCCUACGGGAGGCAGCAGUGGGGAAUAUUGCACAAUGGGCGGAAGCCUGAUGCAGCAACGCCGCGUGCGGGAUGACGGCCUUCGGGUUGUAAACCGCUUUCGCCUGUGACGAAGCGUGAGUGACGGUAAUGGGUAAAGAAGCACCGGCUAACUACGUGCCAGCAGCCGCGGUGAUACGUAGGGUGCGAGCGUUGUCCGGAUUUAUUGGGCGUAAAGGGCUCGUAGGUGGUUGAUCGCGUCGGAAGUGUAAUCUUGGGGCUUAACCCUGAGCGUGCUUUCGAUACGGGUUGACUUGAGGAAGGUAGGGGAGAAUGGAAUUCCUGGUGGAGCGGUGGAAUGCGCAGAUAUCAGGAGGAACACCAGUGGCGAAGGCGGUUCUCUGGGCCUUUCCUGACGCUGAGGAGCGAAAGCGUGGGGAGCGAACAGGCUUAGAUACCCUGGUAGUCCACGCUGUAAACGGUGGGUACUAGGUGUGGGGUCCAUUCCACGGGUUCCGUGCCGUAGCUAACGCUUUAAGUACCCCGCCUGGGGAGUACGGCCGCAAGGCUAAAACUCAAAGGAAUUGACGGGGCCCCGCACAAGCGGCGGAGCAUGCGGAUUAAUUCGAUGCAACGCGUAGAACCUUACCUGGGUUUGACAUGGAUCGGGAGUGCUCAGAGAUGGGUGUGCCUCUUUUGGGGUCGGUUCACAGGUGGUGCAUGGCUGUCGUCAGCUCGUGUCGUGAGAUGUUGGGUUAAGUCCCGCAACGAGCGCAACCCUUGUUCACUGUUGCCAGCACGUUAUGGUGGGGACUCAGUGGAGACCGCCGGGGUCAACUCGGAGGAAGGUGGGGAUGACGUCAAGUCAUCAUGCCCCUUAUGUCCAGGGCUUCACGCAUGCUACAAUGGCUGGUACAGAGAGUGGCGAGCCUGUGAGGGUGAGCGAAUCUCGGAAAGCCGGUCUCAGUUCGGAUUGGGGUCUGCAACUCGACCUCAUGAAGUCGGAGUCGCUAGUAAUCGCAGAUCAGCAACGCUGCGGUGAAUACGUUCCCGGG
Molecule: ribosomal RNA, 1343 nt
Filed under: uncultured bacterium
Lineage: Bacteria
Description: 16S ribosomal RNA
Rfam family: Bacterial small subunit ribosomal RNA
Source: RNAcentral